UACGGGGGGGGCAAGCGUUGUUCGGAAUUACUGGGCGUAAAGGGCUCGUAGGCGGCCAACUAAGUCAGACGUGAAAUCCCUCGGCUUAACCGGGGAACUGCGUCUGAUACUGGAUGGCUAGAGGUUGGGAGAGGGAUGCGGAAUUCCAGGUGUAGCGGUGAAAUGCGUAGAUAUCUGGAGGAACACCGGUGGCGAAGGCGGCAUACUGGACCAAUUCUGACGCUGAGGAGCGAAAGCCAGGGGAGCAAACGGG
Molecule: ribosomal RNA, 253 nt
Filed under: uncultured bacterium
Lineage: Bacteria
Description: partial 16S ribosomal RNA
Rfam family: Bacterial small subunit ribosomal RNA
Source: RNAcentral